This 461-nucleotide long non-coding RNA is filed under the name Camarhynchus parvulus. Its description in RNAcentral is "lncRNA (ENSCPVG00000005567.2)". Lineage: Eukaryota; Metazoa; Chordata; Aves; Passeriformes; Thraupidae. The record is from RNAcentral.
AUCUGACAGAGGCGGGUGAAAGCAAGUUGAGGGAAAGGACAUUCCCCUGAAGAGCAGCUGGAGAGAAGUCCUCAAGCCUUGUUUGCCUGUCUGUGCUAAGUAAAGGACAGUGACAAACCUUCUAGGCUUUAGUGUAGAACCACCCCAAGCCCCGGAGCACACUGGCACUUGAACUGAAUUUCCAGCCUUUGCUAUCUGACAGACGUGGGUGAAAGCAAGUUGAGGGAAAGGACAUUCCCCGGAAGAGCAGCUGGAGAGCAGUCCUCAAGCUCUGUCUGUGCUAAGUAUAGGACAGCCAGCUAUGCCACUUUAGCCUAGAACCACCCCCAAGUCCUGGAGCACACUGGCACUUGAACUGAAUUUCCAGGAUUCAGCUGCCAUUCAGUGAUGUGGAAGCUUAUAAUCUCCUCAAUAUUGUAAGCAGUUUGGGGACUGGAUCAUUUCCAGGCUCUCUGUGCAGC